RNAcentral lists this transfer RNA (541 nucleotides) under uncultured cyanobacterium. Its description in RNAcentral is "partial 16S-23S ribosomal RNA intergenic spacer". The stretch from base 212 to 284 matches the Rfam family "tRNA". Lineage: Bacteria; Bacillati; Cyanobacteriota. The record is from RNAcentral.
CAGGGAGACAACAAAAUGUUUAAUAUUAUUAUUUUGUCACCUUAGGUCGAUCGGUAUCUCACAUUCUUAAUUUAUUAAGGAUUUCAUUUCCUAAGUUUUUCUAGGUCACACCCAUUAUUUUUCCUGGGCCAUUAGCUCAGGUGGUUAGAGCGCACCCCUGAUAAGGGUGAGGUCCCUGGUUCAAGUCCAGGAUGGCCCAUAUCUCUAUGUUGGGGGUAUAGCUCAGUUGGUAGAGCGCCUGCUUUGCAAGCAGGAUGUCAGCGGUUCGAGUCCGCUUACCUCCACUGAUUACCACCUCUUCCAUAACAGGUAGAAAGGGAAUGUUUUGAGUUGUGAUCAUUAUUCUGAACGAAUCUAGCUUCCUAAUGAAAUCAUUAAGAUGCUGGACUCAUUGAAUUAAUUUCAUUGUUUUCAGAGAACCUUGACAACUGCAUAGAUUUUUUUAAAGACAAUAAGCAUCUUUAAUGAUGCAGAUUUAUUAUUUGUGCGAAUGCAUUAAUAACAAUUCUAUUAAGCUGAUGCUUCAAUUUUUGAAGUUAUU